GGGAUUACAGGCGUGAGCCACUGCACCCGGCCCUGAACUUAGGUUUUGAUGUCCCAGGGAUGUCCUGGUUGCUGGUCUUUCCCCACACCGGGUGGGGUUACGGUGGGUGGUGACUAGGAGUCAAUGUCAAAACCCUUUUAGCCACAGUUGAGCAAUAGGGGAGGUUUGGAGGGUGUGGUGCCUGGGCUGAGGCCCCCUGGGGCCCGUUACUGAGUUCAGUUUUGUCUGCUUUGGAGUCUCUUGCUGUCAUCUCGACGCGCUGGGCCAGCAUGAUCCUGCGAGGAGUUGUACUUCAAAAUUUAACAAGGAACAAACGCAAAGCUUCAAAAGGGGAAAUACAAGCUUUCCCAGAGGAGUUUCUCCAGGUGCAGCGUGUGGUGGCAGCAACAGCACAGGCAUUUCCUUACUUAACCAGAAGAGACUAAGGGAUCUCCUGGGUCAGGUUCUGUGGAGUUCCAGCAGAAGCCGCGGAUCGUGGAAGUUCAGCGACACCACCGUCCUGCCCCGUGGGAGAGGUGGGCAUUGAGAUGGGUUUGACAAACGCUCUUUCGAAUCCAGAAAAGUCAAGUAGAGAAGGAAAGUAAGGGGCCACUUACUGUGCCUCGAAUCACAAGACCGCGGUGGACCAGCCUGGUUAAGACCUGUGGAUGUCUUCAGCAAGAAACUUGGAGAGGCCCCUAAAGAUAUCGCCAGAGAGAAAACAAAGAAAGCUUCAGUCGCUCCUUCCUAAGCUGUCACGACUACUCUUUUAAAUGGCCCCAUGCUUGGAUUUCUGUCACCACGACUGGGGGAGCCUGGGCGAGUGUGCUUUCCCUCACUGCACCUCCCAUGGGAGCCCAGGCUGCUGCGCCGUCCUCAGACUGUUGGGAUGAUGAGCGGACGGUGAACUCCCACCACCUGCGCCUGUGAAGGGAGCUCCGGUUGAGGGGCUUUGCUGGCUUCGGGUCGGGGGCUGCCGUAGUUCUGUGUUGGGGAGAUGGUGUGGACUGCGGCAGAGCCAAGCCUGAGCCCCACGCCAGGAUGAGUGGAGUGCCCGGAAAGCAUUCUGAUUUCCGGCCUGGCGUGUCUUCCUUCCAUUACACUGAAAGUUUUACCCAACAGCUCGUUUAAGUUUUUUUUCUUUUUGAGGUGGGGUCUCGCUCUGUCGCCCAGGUGAUCCUCCUACCUCAGCCU
Molecule: long non-coding RNA, 1173 nt
Filed under: Homo sapiens (human)
Lineage: Eukaryota; Metazoa; Chordata; Mammalia; Primates; Hominidae
Description: HSALNT0371876
Source: RNAcentral